GCUGGCUUAGCUCAACUGGUAGAGCAACUGACUUGUAAUCAGUAGGUUGGGAGUUCAAUUCUUCUAGCCAGCA
Molecule: non-coding RNA, 73 nt
Organism: Glossina fuscipes fuscipes
Lineage: Eukaryota; Metazoa; Arthropoda; Insecta; Diptera; Glossinidae
Source: Rfam